UGGGCUCCUCCCGCUGCGGGCCGCCCGCCCGGACGCAAGGCACAGGGGGACGCCCCGCCGAGCCGCUGCCCACUGCACCGAGUUUUUCGGAGGCUGGGAGAGGAAAUGCCACUUGGAUUUUAAAACCGUCACCGAUACGCUAUAGCCCUGCUUUCUCUACCUCCAGUCGUUUUCUGAGGACCGGCUUGGUGGGUGCUGAUGCCUGCCUGGAAGACCUCACACCCACAGUGUCUUAGAAGAUUCUGAAAGCAGUGUGAGACCAGAAUGACCAGCAAAGGAGAAAAGAACAAGGACACAUUGCAGCCAAAAUGGAGCUAGAAUCUUGCCUCUGUCCAUCCUUCACUGGAGUUAUCCUGGAUGGAGAAGGAACCAUAUCACCUGCAAAGCCUGGAAGGGGAGCCCUGCUGUGAGACCCAGAGAUGGAAGAUGGUCCUGACUUGAAAGUGCCAUUUGUGUAGUUCCAGUGCCCAGAGCUUCCUUCCUCACUGAUCCCUCCUGUGGGCUUGGACUCUGGCACACUGGCUGUGAAGUGUUUUUUGUUUUUUCCUUGAGACAGGGUCUU
This 562-nucleotide long non-coding RNA is filed under the name Homo sapiens (human). RNAcentral's name for it is "HSALNT0296371". Lineage: Eukaryota; Metazoa; Chordata; Mammalia; Primates; Hominidae. The record is from RNAcentral.